RNAcentral lists this ribosomal RNA (484 nucleotides) under uncultured bacterium. Its description in RNAcentral is "partial 16S ribosomal RNA". It matches the Rfam family "Bacterial small subunit ribosomal RNA", at positions 30 to 507 of the family's 1533-position model. The record is from RNAcentral.
AUUGAACGCUGGCGGAAUGCUUUACACAUGCAAGUCGAACGGCAGCACGGGGGCAGCCCUGGUGGCGAGUGGCGAACGGGUGAGUAAUACAUCGGAACGUGCCCGGUCGUGGGGGAUAACGUAGCGAAAGUUACGCUAAUACCGCAUACGAUCUGAGGAUGAAAGCGGGGGACCUUCGGGCCUCGCGCGAUCGGAGCGGCCGAUGUCAGAUUAGGUAGUUGGUGGGGUAAAGGCCUACCAAGCCGACGAUCUGUAGCUGGUCUGAGAGGACGCCCAGCCACACUGGGACUGAGACACGGCCCAGACUCCUACGGGAGGCAGCAGUGGGGAAUUUUGGACAAUGGGCGCAAGCCUGAUCCAGCCAUUCCGCGUGCAGGACGAAGGCCUUCGGGUUGUAAACUGCUUUUGUACGGAACGAAAAGGCUCUGGCUAAUACCUGGGGCUCAUGACGGUACCGUAAGAAUAAGCACCGGCUAACUACGUG